ACGCUCGACACCUACGGGAGCAGCAGUGGGGAAUAUUGCACAAUGGGGGAAACCCUGAUGCAGCGACGCCGCGUGAGCGAAGAAGUAUUUCGGUAUGUAAAGCUCUAUCAGCAGGGAAGAAACUGACGGUACCUGACUAAGAAGCACCGGCUAAAUACGUGCCAGCACGCCGGACGGUAAUCUGGAGGCGGGUCGUGGACGAACGGC
Molecule: ribosomal RNA, 207 nt
Filed under: uncultured bacterium
Lineage: Bacteria
Description: partial 16S ribosomal RNA
Rfam family: Bacterial small subunit ribosomal RNA
Source: RNAcentral